GUAGGUGGCAAGCGUUGUCCGUAAUUAUUGGGCGUAAAGCGCGCGCAGGCGGUUCUUUAAGUCUGAUGUGAAAGCCCACGGCUCAACCGUGGAGGGUCAUUGGAAACUGGAGAACUUGAGUACAGAAGAGGAAAGCGGAAUUCCACGUGUAGCGGUGAAAUGCGUAGAGAUGUGGAGGAACACCAGUGGCGAAGGCGGCUUUCUGGUCUGUAACUGACGCUGAGGCGCGAAAGCGUGGGGAGCAAACAGGAUUAGAUACCCUGGUAGUCCACGCCGUAAACGAUGAGUGCUAAGUGUUAGGGGGUUUCCGCCCCCCUUAGUGCUGCAGCUAACGCAUUAAGCACUCCGCCUGGGAGUACGGCCGCAAGGCUG
RNAcentral lists this ribosomal RNA (372 nucleotides) under uncultured organism. RNAcentral's name for it is "partial 16S ribosomal RNA". It matches the Rfam family "Bacterial small subunit ribosomal RNA", at positions 527 to 896 of the family's 1533-position model. The record is from RNAcentral.